Molecule: ribosomal RNA, 253 nt
Filed under: uncultured bacterium
Lineage: Bacteria
Description: partial 16S ribosomal RNA
Rfam family: Bacterial small subunit ribosomal RNA
Source: RNAcentral
UACAGAGGGGGCGAGCGUUGUUCGGAAUUACUGGGCGUAAAGGGCGCGUAGGCGGCCUGCUAAGUCGAACGUGAAAUCCCCGGGCUCAACCCGGGAACUGCGUCCGAGACUGGUUGGCUCGAAUCCGGGAGAGGGAUGUGGAAUUCCAGGUGUAGCGGUGAAAUGCGUAGAGAUCAUGAGGAAGACCAGUGGCGAAGGCGGGUCUCUGGACAGUUCCUGACACUGAGGCACGAAGGCCAGGGGAGCAAACGGG